RNAcentral lists this ribosomal RNA (253 nucleotides) under uncultured bacterium. RNAcentral's name for it is "partial 16S ribosomal RNA". It matches the Rfam family "Bacterial small subunit ribosomal RNA", at positions 524 to 776 of the family's 1533-position model. The record is from RNAcentral.
UACAGAGGGGGCAAGCGUUGUUCGGAAUUACUGGGCGUAAAGGGCGCGUAGGCGGCCUGCUAAGUCGAACGUGAAAUCCCUGGGCUCAACCCAGGAACUGCGUCCGAUACUGGUUGGCUUGAAUCCGGGAGAGGGAUGUGGAAUUCCAGGUGUAGCGGUGAAAUGCGUAGAUAUCUGGAGGAACACCGGUGGCGAAGGCGGCCCGCUGGACGGAGACUGACGCUGAGGCGCGAAAGCGUGGGGAGCAAACGGG